GGCUGAGUAACACGUGGAGAACCUGCCCCCUCCCCCGGGAUAGCCGCCCGAAAGGACGGGUAAUACCGGAUACCCCGGGGUGCCGCAUGGCACCCCGGCUAAAGCCCCGACGGGAGGGGAUGGCUCCGCGGCCCAUCAGGUAGACGGCGGGGUGACGGCCCACCGUGCCGACAACGGGUAGCCGGGUUGAGAGACCGACCGGCCAGAUUGGGACUGAGACACGGCCCAGACUCCUACGGGAGGCAGCAGUGGGGAAUCUUGCGCAAUGGGGGGAACCCUGACGCAGCGACGCCGCGUGCGGGACGGAGGCCUUCGGGUCGUAAACCGCUUUCAGCAGGGAAGAGUCAAGACUGUACCUGCAGAAGAAGCCCCGGCUAACUACGUGCCAGCAGCCGCGGUAAUACGUAGGGGGCGAGCGUUAUCCGGAUUCAUUGGGCGUAAAGCGCGCGUAGGCGGCCCGGCAGGCCGGGGGCCGAAGCGGGGGGCUCAACCCCCCGAAGCCCCCGGAACCUCCGCGGCUUGGGUCCGGUAGGGGAGGGUGGAACACCCGGUGUAGCGGUGGAAUGCGCAGAUAUCGGGUGGAACACCGGUGGCGAAGGCGGCCCUCUGGGCCGAGACCGACGCUGAGGCGCGAAAGCUGGGGGAGCGAACAGGAUUAGAUACCCUGGUAGUCCCAGCCGUAAACGAUGGACGCUAGGUGUGGGGGGACGAUCCCCCCGUGCCGCAG
RNAcentral lists this ribosomal RNA (727 nucleotides) under uncultured bacterium. RNAcentral describes it as "partial 16S ribosomal RNA". It matches the Rfam family "Bacterial small subunit ribosomal RNA", at positions 104 to 851 of the family's 1533-position model. The record is from RNAcentral.